This 758-nucleotide long non-coding RNA is filed under the name Gallus gallus (chicken). Its description in RNAcentral is "lncRNA (ENSGALG00010021437.1)". Lineage: Eukaryota; Metazoa; Chordata; Aves; Galliformes; Phasianidae. The record is from RNAcentral.
CUGCCACUGAGGAAGGUUUUCCUUCUGGAGGUCCCUCCCUUUGGAGUUUUUCUGCAAGCUUAGGGCACGGUGUUGGUAAUGCCUGUUCCCAAGGAGCAUUCAGCAGCAUCUCCAGAUGCCUGUUCAGCUUGGAGCAUUGAGCAGCACCUCCAGAGGACAAACUAAGGGAGAUACGACACUUAGGUUGUACCAGACCUGGAAAGUAAUUAUGCAUCAGCUACUUGGAAAGGAGACUUAAUGCCAGGGAGUGUGUGCAUCUCCUUGAGGAACAGAAUGCCUGAAAUCAUUGGAUUCCAGGGUAGCUCAGCCUAUAUCAGACUCAAACGUAUGAUUGCAGCUCUUAAAGUGUAAUGAGACCCAACUGUACAGUGAAACUUUUCCAGACAUAUGUAUGUGAUACGGGAAGAGUCAGGUGCAAAAAUUUCUGUUGUCUAGUCAUAAGCUGCAAAAAAUUAUUCUCUGUAAAAUGUAAAAAUCCAGUGAACUCUAACGCAAAACUUUGUUUAUGUAUGUUCACACCCACCACAUUUCUCUUUAGAGUUUAAGUAUCUUCAGAGUAAAAGUUGUGGGUUUGGGGUUGUUUUGGAUUUAUUUUUUUUCACUGUUUUGUUUUGCUUUGUUUUUAAUAAUAAACACACACAAAAAGGACUUGAAUCCUCCUCUUCUGUUCAGAAAAAGACUUUUCAUGCCUGUUAAUAUAUGAACGUGUAUAGAAAUCCAGAGUUGUACUGGACUUUCAAUAGCAUUAUGUUCAGCAG